GAGUUUGAUCCUGGCUCAGGAUGAACGCUAGCGGUAGGCUUAACACAUGAAGUCGAACGGUAACAGGAAUAGCAAUAUUUGCUGACGAGUGGCGCACGGUGAGUAACGCGUAUGCAACCUACCCUUAACAGGCGAAUAGCCCGGGGAACUCGGAUUAAUACGCCGUAUAAUUAACGAGAAGCAUUUUUUGUUAAUGAAGAGAUAUCGGUUAAGGAUGGGCAUGCGUGCCAUUAGCUAGUUGGAGAGUAACGGCUCACCAAGGCGACGAUGGCUAGGGGUUCUAAAAGGACAACCCCCACACUGGUACUGAGACACGGACCAGACUCCUACGGGAGGCAGCAGUAGGAAUAUUGGUCAAUGGGUGCAAACCUGAACCAGCCAAGCCGCGUGCAGAUGACGGCCCUAUGGGUUGUAAACUGCUUUUUUAUCGGAGGAAUGUCGUACGCGUAACGAUUUGACAGUACGAUAAGAAUAAGCAUCGGCUAACUCCUGCCAGCAGCCGCGGUAAUACGGAGGAUGCAGGCGUUAUCCGGAUUUAUAGGUUUAAAGGGUGCGUAGGCUGAAUAUUAAGUCAGUGGUGAAAUACUUGGCUUAACCUAAGGGCUGCCAUUGAUACUAUUAUUCUUGAGUAAAGUCGGGUAGGCGGAAUGUGUAGUGUAGCGGUGAAAUGCAUAGAUAUUACACAGACACCAAUUGCGAAGGCAGCUUACUAGAGUUUAACUGACGCUGAUGCACCAAAGCGUGGGGAUCAAAAAGGAUUAGAUACCCUGGU
Molecule: ribosomal RNA, 772 nt
Filed under: uncultured Bacteroidota bacterium
Lineage: Bacteria; Pseudomonadati; Bacteroidota
Description: bacterial SSU rRNA
Rfam family: Bacterial small subunit ribosomal RNA
Source: RNAcentral